AAGGGAGAUUGGUUUGUGUGCGUGACGGUCUGGGCUGUGUCCACAACUCUCUGCGAUUUCUUGCGGGUCUUGGACGGAGCUGUUCCCAAACCGUGCUGGGAUGCAUCCCGAUAAACUGAUUUCCACGGCGCAUUUGUAGAAUGUGGAGAGAGUCGAGGGG
Amblyraja radiata (thorny skate) is the source of this 160-nucleotide long non-coding RNA. RefSeq lists it as uncharacterized. Lineage: Eukaryota; Metazoa; Chordata; Chondrichthyes; Rajiformes; Rajidae. The transcript has 3 exons. The record is from RefSeq and is a predicted model, not a curated record.